Molecule: ribosomal RNA, 417 nt
Filed under: Chaetomium globosum
Lineage: Eukaryota; Fungi; Ascomycota; Sordariomycetes; Sordariales; Chaetomiaceae
Also listed under: 2 other names
Description: SSU rRNA
Rfam family: Eukaryotic small subunit ribosomal RNA
Source: RNAcentral
AUAGCGUAUAUUAAAGUUGUUGAGGUUAAAAAGCUCGUAGUUGAACCUUGGGCCUAGCCGGCCGGUCCGCCUCACCGCGUGCACUGGCUCGGCUGGGUCUUUCCUUCUGGAGAACCGCAUGCCCUUCACUGGGUGUGCCGGGGAACCAGGACUUUUACUCUGAACAAAUUAGAUCGCUUAAAGAAGGCCUAUGCUCGAAUACAUUAGCAUGGAAUAAUAGAAUAGGACGUGUGGUUCUAUUUUGUUGGUUUCUAGGACCGCCGUAAUGAUUAAUAGGGACAGUCGGGGGCAUCAGUAUUCAAUUGUCAGAGGUGAAAUUCUUGGAUUUAUUGAAGACUAACUACUGCGAAAGCAUUUGCCAAGGAUGUUUUCAUUAAUCAGGAACGAAAGUUAGGGGAUCGAAGACGAUCAGAUACC